RNA transcript from Vollenhovia emeryi, 892 nucleotides. It is a transcript of the gene named heat shock factor-binding protein 1, with no coding region annotated. Lineage: Eukaryota; Metazoa; Arthropoda; Insecta; Hymenoptera; Formicidae. The record is from RefSeq and is a predicted model, not a curated record. The transcript is spliced from 4 exons.
AAAAGUCGGGACAAAAGGGAGGCACGUGUGCGCGUUUGAGACUUCAAUCUCUCGUCAACGUCGGGGGAACCGGCGAUUGUUGGAUCGAUCGACGGUGCUCGGCACCGAUCGUCACCGCGAGAGCGUGAGCACGCGACGGGCAGGUGCGGCGCGGCGACGUCGCGUCACGUCGCGUCGGGAGGAUCCAUUGCGGUGGAGCGGACGGGCCGAGCCUUGACUCUCGUUCCUCUCCACCCUGCUGCGGUCGAAGCGUCGAGGAUGGCCGACAUCAAGCAGGAUCACAAGGGCGAGGACGUCGACAGCUACGGGAUGGACAAUAGCGCCGACCCGAAGAACAUGCAGGAGCUGACGCAAUACGUGCAAACGCUGCUGCAGAACAUGCAGGACAAGUUUCAGACCAUGUCCGACCAGAUCAUAGGAAGAAUAGAUGAAAUGGGCAACAGAAUAGACGACCUGGAAAAGAAUAUCGCGGACCUAAUGACGCAAGCGGGAGUCGAAGGUGGUGAUAAGUGAGCUCGUCCUUUUCGCAGUGCGCUGAUCUAUCUGUAAUGACUUAUCUAAAAUAUAGCCACACUUAUUGUCACAGGAAAAGAAGAAAUGUAUACCAAUAGAAUUCUCGUUGCAGAUAACCGAGGCAAUUGCAACUAAGUGGACGUAACGACUAGGCAACUUCGGUGGAAUGCGAAAUGACGUUAUUCCUUCCCGCUAUCUUUAUCUGAGUUUUUUUUUCUCUUAUCUCGUUCAAAACAAUCUUGCGCAUCAACGUGGACGCUCGAACUGAUACACAGAGUACAAAUAAGCAUUCUGUAAGAAUGUUCACUUUGUCUGAUUCAUUCUAUAAGGUAGAUGAUAUAUUAUAGACGAUAUUAAAGACUUCUGACACGUGGGAAUU